Molecule: small nucleolar RNA, 129 nt
Organism: Grammomys surdaster
Lineage: Eukaryota; Metazoa; Chordata; Mammalia; Rodentia; Muridae
Product: small nucleolar RNA SNORA69
Exons: 1
Source: RefSeq, a predicted model, not a curated record
AAAGCAGGUUAUAAGUAUUGCUCUUCAUUUUGUGGAAGGAUUGCUACUACCAUGCUAAAGAGCAGACAUGUUGAUGGCCUCUGAUUUUACCUUUAUGAGAGUAAAAGUAACAGCUUGAUAAGGAUAGUC